CGCCCCGCCCCGCCCCGCGCCGCCGCCCCCAACCCCUAGGCUGAGCCGGAGGGAGGGACCCAGAAGGGAGGGAGGCGGAAGGGAGGCCAAAAAGGAGGGGGCCACGUGAAAGAGGCCGGCCGACCGAGACCGAGGGAGACUGAGCGGAGCGCACGCCCUGGAAGGAGAGAGCCGGAGAGUUCGGGAGGCAAGACCCCCAGAGACGAGAGUCGGAGGGAUCAAACGACACAGAUGGAGUCUUGCUCUGUCACCCAGACUGGGUACAGUGGCACGAUCUCGGCUCACUACAAACUCCACCUCCUGGGUUCAAGAGAUUCUCCUACCUCAGCCUCCCGAGUAGCUGGGACUACAGAGGACACAGCAUUCAAUACUACCUUGGAAGCAGCGACAGCAACCCUCACCAGACACCAAGCCUGCUGGCACCUUGAUCUUGGACAUCCAGCCUCCAGAUCUGUGAGAAGUAAAUUCUGGUUUUUUAAAAAUUACCCAGUCUCAGGUAUUUUUUAAUACACACAUUAAUGGACUAAGACAAGACUCAACACUGUCAAGUUGUCAAUUUGUGCUAAAUUGAUCUAUAGACUUAAUAUGUUCUCAAUAAAAGUCCCAACAAGGUUAAUGUGGAAAUUGACAAGCUGAUUCUAAAACAUAAUGAAAGGCAACGGACGUAGAAUAACAAAAACCCUUUUGAAAAAAUGAAUAUUACCUGAAAUGAAGAGUCAGCAUAAAGUUACAAUGAUAAAGACAGUGUGUUACUGGCACAGGGAUAGACAUAUAGACCAAUAGAACUGAAUUGAGAAUCCAGAUGUAUAUAUCAAGUCAAUGGGGGAAAGGUAUAGAAUAAAGAGGUAUUCACAUAGGAAAAAGCAAAUCUCAAAUUUUACUUCACAUCAUACACAAAAAAUGACUCUGAAUGGAGGGUAGUUCUAAAGGUAAGAGCUAAAGCUAUAGUACUUCUAGAACAGGGGUUACAAUUUUUUUUCUUUAAAGAAACAAAUAGUAAAUAUUGUAUGCUUUGCAGGCCAAAAGAUC
RNAcentral lists this long non-coding RNA (1029 nucleotides) under Homo sapiens (human). RNAcentral's name for it is "HSALNT0353725". The record is from RNAcentral. Lineage: Eukaryota; Metazoa; Chordata; Mammalia; Primates; Hominidae.